UGACCGAGCUUCCGCUGCUACGUCUAAAGCUGAUUUACUCAGCUGUCUUUAUACCUGUCUCCGCGUGGGUAAAAGGAGAUGCUUUCAUUGAUGGCUAUUACGGAAACGCUUGGGAACUGAAGAUCAGCCCCGAGGACUCGCUGUGCUUUUCUCCCUGCCACCCCCUCCCCCUCCCUCCUGCCAGAAACCAUCUGACUUNNNNNNNNNNNNNNNNNNNNNNNNNNNNNNNNNNNNNNNNNNNUCCUGGAAGCAGAAAGCAAGGCAGCUGGAGUUGUGUUCUGUUACUCAGCGUGAAAAACUUCCCAGACAGCAGAAGAGGGUGCAAGAAAUGUUUCUAUCUCCGCAUCAAGUCUUCUUGUCCAAAACUGUCUUGUAAACUUUGAUGAGGACUGGGGGAAAAAAAAAAAAGUUUGUGUGUGUGUGCGUGUGUGUGUGGCCAUGUACAAUACAACCCCACACCCCACCCCACAGUCACACACACAUGUCUGAACAAAGGAAAACUGAGUGAAUGGAAAUGAAGGGAAAACACAUUUUCUCACACAGGAACUGACAAGAAUUAAUAUUGUGGAGUUCCCUUCAAAUCAUGACUCCUAAAAUUGUGUUUCAUAUUUAUUUUGUGGUCACUGGGGUCAAAAGAUCUGCUGUGCUGAAGACAUGUUACCUCACCGUGUUCGCAACAGCGAGUGUAUUACAUGCCACGUUAUGGACCAGACUGACUUCUUGAAAGGCUUGAUAGAGGAUUUAUGUUAAUAAUUGCAGCAAUCAGACAAACCACAACCCCAGCGUCUUGGGGUUUCCAGAUCUCAUCUGGCUGUCACUGCCAACUCUAGGCAACCGUCAGCUGGCUGGGCUCAGGGUGGUGGUGUGGCUGCAGCUGCUCCCUGCAACUUGUGCAGACGUCUCGAAAAUACCUAACGGCAGGAGGUUGACUCCAAAGAGAAAGCUUUCUCUUUGUUUGUGGUUGGUUUUAAAUGUUCUGUUCUAGGUGAUCUUGUACCACAUCUGAAGAAGCCCAUUUUAGGGAACCUGAUGAACUGGCAUCAUAUUACUAAUUUAUUUCUUUGAUAUUCUCAUGCCCCAUCUAGGUUGGCAUGCUACCAACCUGCUCACUCCUUAUUCCAUUACUAGAUGUCCUUUAGAAAAAAAGAUUAAAAGAAGGAGGGAGAGGAGGAAGAAACUUUCCUUAUGCUUAUUCCCAAGCUGAUUAAGAGACAUUUCAGGCUCUGUGUACUGUUGAUAGAUAAGGGCAUCUGAAUGACUUCAGAAAUAAAUAGAAAUAACCAGUCA
RNAcentral lists this long non-coding RNA (1287 nucleotides) under Bos mutus (wild yak). RNAcentral describes it as "lncRNA (ENSBMUG00000015231.1)". The record is from RNAcentral. Lineage: Eukaryota; Metazoa; Chordata; Mammalia; Artiodactyla; Bovidae.